Molecule: ribosomal RNA, 445 nt
Filed under: uncultured bacterium
Lineage: Bacteria
Description: partial 16S ribosomal RNA
Rfam family: Bacterial small subunit ribosomal RNA
Source: RNAcentral
UCCAGACUCCUACGGGAGGCAGCAGUGGGGGAUAUUGCACAAUGGGGGGAACCCUGAUGCAGCGACGCCGCGUGGGUGAAGAAGCGCCUCGGCGCGUAAAGCCCUGUCAGCAGGGAAGAAAAUGACGGUACCCACAGAGGAAGCAUCGGCUAACUCCGUGCCAGCAGCCGCGGUAAUACGGGGGAUGCAAGCGUUGUCCGGAAUCAUUGGGCGUAAAGAGUUCGUAGGUGGCACGUUAAGUCUGGUGUUAAAUGCAGAGGCUCAACCUCUGUUCGGCACUGGAUACUGGCGAGCUUGAAUGCGGUAGAGGUAAAGGGAAUUCCUGGUGUAGCGGUGAAAUGCGUAGAUAUCAGGAGGAACAUCGGUGGCGUAAGCGCUUUACUGGGCCGUAAUUGACGCUGAGGAACGAAAGCCAGGGUAGCAAAUGGGAUUAGAUACCCCAGUA